AUUGAACGCUGGCGGCAUGCUUUACACAUGCAAGUCGAACGGUAACAGGGUGCUUGCACCGCUGACGAGUGGCGAACGGGUGAGUAAUGCGUCGGAACGUGCCGAGUAGUGGGGGAUAACGCAGCGAAAGUUGUGCUAAUACCGCAUACGUACUGAGGUAGAAAGCGGGGGACCUUCGGGCCUCACGCUAUUCGAGCGGCCGACGUCUGAUUAGCUAGUAGGUGAGGUAAAGGCUCACCUAGGCGACGAUCAGUAGCGGGUCUGAGAGGAUGAGCCGCCACACUGGGACUGAGACACGGCCCAGACUCCUACGGGAGGCAGCAGUGGGGAAUUUUGGACAAUGGGCGAAAGCCUGAUCCAGCCAUGUCGCGUGUCUGAAGAAGGCCUUCGGGUUGUAAAGGACUUUUGUCAGGGAGGAAAUCCCUAGUGCUAAUAACACUGGGGGAUGACAGUACCUGAAGAAUAAGCACCGGCUAACUACGUGCCAGCCGCCGCGGUAA
This 500-nucleotide ribosomal RNA is filed under the name uncultured bacterium. RNAcentral describes it as "partial 16S ribosomal RNA". It matches the Rfam family "Bacterial small subunit ribosomal RNA", at positions 30 to 523 of the family's 1533-position model. The record is from RNAcentral.